UACAGAGGGUGCGAGCGUUAAUCGGAAUUACUGGGCGUAAAGCGUGCGCAGACGGUCUCGUAAGUCGGGUGUGAAAUCCCCGGGCUCAACCUGGGAAUUGCAUUCGAAACUGCGAGGCUAGGGUACGGAAGAGGGAAGCGGAAUUUCUGGUGUAGCGGUGAAAUGCGUAGAUAUCAGAAGGAACAUCAGUGGCGAAAGCGGCUUCCUGGUCCAGUACCGACGUUCAGGCACGAAAGCGUGGGGAGCAAACAGG
This 253-nucleotide ribosomal RNA is filed under the name uncultured bacterium. Its description in RNAcentral is "partial 16S ribosomal RNA". It matches the Rfam family "Bacterial small subunit ribosomal RNA", at positions 524 to 776 of the family's 1533-position model. The record is from RNAcentral.